AACAAAUUGCUGUAUAAAAACGGCCAAAACUGAACAGUAUCAUACUGUUUCUAUUGAAAACGGUACUGCACCGUGAAAAACAAUGCAUUCUGGGCAAUUAUUACUGUUUUUAAUAAAAUACUGUAAUAUACUGUGAGUAGCAUUGCAUUUUGGGAAUGAUGUUAGAUUCAACGGCAAGGAGGCUCUCUUUAAACAGAACGCUACUGUAUUUCACAAGAAGACACGUUGUUGUGACAUGUGGAAGCAACCUCUAGAAUUUUCUUUACAAGGACUAUCCAUUUGAAUCCUGCAUUUUAUGAGCCAAUCCGGUGGAAAAGACCAUGUGACUGCUGGGCACUGGAUGAUCAGUCUUGAGAGCCAUAUUGUAUGUGAGGGCAUUCAACCAACCUUUGUGACCGGGCUUGCUGCACUGUUUUCAAUGUACUACACCUACAAUAUCAAGAAGAGGCUGCAUGUACACUUGAAUUCAUCCAGAGGCACUUUCUUGAUAUCAACACUGAAAGAGGGACCAAGGCCAGCUGUGGCAAGAUCGUCUCCAAGAGGACAGGAAAUACUGUUCAAAAGAAGUUGGUCACUGUCAACCCCUGUGUCUCAACUCUGCUAAAAAAACCUCAUGGACUUCGAGUGGAAUUUCAUAUAGGUUAGUGAGAACUUUCUAACCAGGCUAUAAAUAUGGUUGCCCCUCCACGCAAAAACAAACAAACAAACAAAAAACUAUACAGGCAUGAAGGCAACUUAUCCCUGAACAGGAGUGUUCUUGAGAGAUUUUUUUUGGUUUAAAGGUCAACAUAAUCUUAGACAUCUCUUUUAAUUUAUAGCAUAAAUUUUGUUAAGGGUCCCACAUUCUGUUCUUCAGAUAUAAUUUGUAAUUUUGACUGUACAGGCACAAUGUUUAACUUAUCUUGGCAGUGUGUUGUCAAAUAUUGUUUCAUUGUCUUAUCAUUUGAAGUUGGAGCUCUGAUUUUGCCCUAAAGGAAAUUCAAGUCUAAAUGUUUCAUUUAAAUUUUUAUCAAACUAAAAUUUGCAAUUUUUUUCUAUGCUUUAGAUUGAAAGUUAAAUGUUUCAUUUGUUUUAUGUUGCAUCAUAUUGUUCCUCACUUCCACUAAAAGUAGUAUUUUGUAUUGAAAAAGUAGUGUGCUGAGUUGUACAAUGCAUUAUUUCAUAAUUUCUUUCAUACUUAUUUUAUUUCAGAUUAAUCAAAAGGCCACAAUUCAUGCUUUAUUCAAAAACUCUUUAAAUCAGUUAUUAAGAAAUUUAUUUUACAAAAUAGAUGGGGAUUUUCUUACUGUUUUUCCAGAAUACGACUUACUUUGGACAGUUUACCCUCAACAUACUUGUAGAAAAGGUUUAGGUUUAAGGCACACAUACGUUGUCGUUUCAAAACCUUCUUCUUUAUUAUGUGGCCCACUAAAGACUGUGUAUGAGUCAAUGUUUGAGUUGGUGCUUUUUUUUCCCAAAUAAAUGUUGGUUG
This is a long non-coding RNA of Gambusia affinis (western mosquitofish), 1471 nucleotides long. RefSeq lists it as uncharacterized. The transcript is spliced from 3 exons. NCBI's taxonomy places the organism in Eukaryota, Metazoa, Chordata, Actinopteri, Cyprinodontiformes, Poeciliidae. The record is from RefSeq and is a predicted model, not a curated record.